Molecule: long non-coding RNA, 945 nt
Organism: Raphanus sativus (radish)
Lineage: Eukaryota; Viridiplantae; Streptophyta; Magnoliopsida; Brassicales; Brassicaceae
Exons: 4
Source: RefSeq, a predicted model, not a curated record
CGACCCUUCCUGUUCAGAAAAAAAAAAUUGAUCGUUUCUUUCUGAACAGAGGCUAUCUCUGUCCUCAACCUCCUCUCUAUUUACCACAACUCCAGACAUAAAGACCGAACAGUGGAAGCGAAUCAACUAAGCAAGAUCUUGAGUCAAUAACACUUAAGAUCCGAGUGAAGGUGCAGGAUCGUCGUCGUUUCCGGAGCUGGCGAGUGUGAUUCAGAAUUUAGCAGAGGUGUACGGCAGGAUCAAAGGUUCAAAGCAAAGGAUGGUGAAACAGAGGAAGGGAGAUGCAAAGGGGCUUAAGUUGCAACAAAUAAACAUGUCGGUGGAUAUGAGAUGGAGCUUCAAAGAUCGAAGCUUGGCUAACGUAUAGCUGCUGCCAAAGCUAAAGACCAAUUGUGUAUAAGAUGAGGAAGUGAUGCACAGAAAAGCUUAGGUUUUGGUAGAAGGACACAGAAAAUGAGAACCAUCAGUUCAGAAUAAUAGCAAAGAAACAAAAAUAUGGUAAGUAAUUGUUUUGACAAAAAUAUUGGUUGUAUGCGUACAUAUCGUUUUGCUAUAUUGUUUUGAUAAUUUAUAGAAUAAAUUAUAUACUGAUAUCAGCUUUUAAACUGUCUUACUGAGCUAUUGGACGUUCUGAGAACCAAGCUUUCGGAAUCAAGGUGCAAAUGUAAACAUCAACAUUGCGGAAGAAAAUAAACAUCACUCCGUUUGACCAGCAAGGCAAAAGGAAGCGUGAAGGGAGAGUUGCCUUUAAUUCAAAUUGGGUUAUAUCGGUUUAUUUUAAAUUGGGAAUGCACCGGUUUAGUAAUGUAAAUAAACAAAAUCGAUGUGUCAUGAAGUUAAUGAAACGGCAUAGUAUAAGGGCAAUGGCAUGAGAUUGUAAAUAUGAAUGACUAAAGCCUUGAAAUGGUUCUGUAAUUAUCACAAAAAUUAAAUGGCUUAAGUUCA